AGAGAAAAACUGGAUCGAGAACCCACAACCUAUCGGUUGUCACAGGCUGCACAUGCGGAGGGUCUGUAGCUCAGUCGGUUAGAGCAUCGUCUUGAUAAGGCGAGGGUCGUUGGUUCGAUUCCAACCAGACCCACCAGCGUAUCGACAAAAGCUGCGGUAAGCGAAGUCGAGGACGUUGCUAACUAGCGGGGGGAUUAGCUCAGCUGGGAGAGCACCUGCUUUGCAAGCAGGGGGUCGUCGGUUCGAUCCCGUCAUCCUCCACCAAACCAACCGCCGCGCGUGAGAUGUCAGGCCUGCAGGGUCCGUACCCUGCAGGCCUGACCCCUUACGGGGCCUGUGCUCUUUAACAAAAUGGAAGAAGGUUGUAUUGCCGAUGGCCCGGAGGAUUGGGGAUUGGCAAUACGGUUGUGAUUGCAUCGAACCCCCGCAAGGGGGAGCACAAAUGAGUUGCCUGUAGCUGGAGGUCUCGCAAGGGAGCUCAAGGUUAUAG
Molecule: transfer RNA, 490 nt
Filed under: Candidatus Accumulibacter phosphatis
Lineage: Bacteria; Pseudomonadati; Pseudomonadota; Betaproteobacteria
Description: 16S-23S ribosomal RNA intergenic spacer
Rfam family: tRNA (bases 60-133)
Source: RNAcentral